RNAcentral lists this ribosomal RNA (573 nucleotides) under Triticum aestivum (bread wheat). Its description in RNAcentral is "partial small subunit ribosomal RNA". The record is from RNAcentral. Lineage: Eukaryota; Viridiplantae; Streptophyta; Magnoliopsida; Poales; Poaceae.
AUGGACCUAGUUGAAUUAACUGGAUUGAAUAAUGCCAUGGUGGGUAUGGCAGGAGCAACAGGCCUGUCAGCCGAGCAGCGAAAAAGGCGAACACUAGCCGUGGAGUUGGUAGCUAGUCCUUCCAUCAUAUUUAUGGAUGAUUCGACCGCUGGUUUGGAUCCCUGUGCUACAGCAAUUGUCAUGAGAACAAUAAGAAAGACAGUAGACACUGGACGAACUGUUGUAUGCACAAUACAUCAGCCAAGCAUUGGGAUAUUUGAAUCAUUUGAUGAGCUUUUGCUUAUGAAAAGAGGCGGUCAAAUCAUAUAUAGUGGUUCAUUAGGUCCGUUGUCUAGCAACAUGAUCAAGUAUUUCGAGGGUAUACCUAGUGUUCCUAGAAUAAAAGAGGGACCAAAUCCAGCAUCAUGGGUAUUGGACAUAAGUUCACACACAACAGAAUAUGAUAUUGGAGUGGACUACGCAGAAAUUUAUCGGAGCUCCGACCUAUACAGGGACAAUAUGAAUCUAAUUACUGAGCUUGGGCACCCAAAACCAAACAUGGAGGAUCUAUAUUUUCACCGAGGAUACUGGUAG